RNAcentral lists this transfer RNA (73 nucleotides) under Stegodyphus mimosarum. It matches the Rfam family "tRNA". Rfam says of the family: Transfer RNA (tRNA) molecules are approximately 80 nucleotides in length. Their secondary structure includes four short double-helical elements and three loops (D, anti-codon, and T loops). The record is from Rfam by way of RNAcentral. Lineage: Eukaryota; Metazoa; Arthropoda; Arachnida; Araneae; Eresidae.
GCCUUCGUGGUGUAGUGGUCAGCACGCUCGAUGCGUAACUGAGAGGUCCGUGGUUCGAUUCCCGGUGAAGGCU